UAGGGAAUCUUCGGCAAUGGACGAAAGUCUGACCCAGCAACGCCGCGUUAGUGAAGAAGGUUUUCGGAUCGUAAAACUCUGUUGUUAGAGAAGAACAAGGACGUUAGUAACUGAACGUCCCCUGACGGUAUCUAACCAGAAAGCCACGGCUAACUACGUGCCAGCAGCCGCGGUAAUACGUAGGUGGCAAGCGUUGUCCGGAUUUAUUGGGCGUAAAGCGAGCGCAGGCGGUUUCUUAAGUCUGAUGUGAAAGCACCCGGCUCAACCGGGGAGGGUCAUUGGAAACUGGGAGACAUGAGUGCAGAAGAGGAGAGUGGAAUUCCAUGUGUAGCGGUGAAAUGCGUAGAUAUAGGGAGGAACACCAGUGGCGAAGGCGGCUCUCUGGUCUGUAACUGACGCUGAGGCUCGAAAGCGUGGGGAGCAAACAGG
Molecule: ribosomal RNA, 429 nt
Filed under: Gemmatimonadota bacterium
Lineage: Bacteria; Pseudomonadati; Gemmatimonadota
Description: Gemmatimonadetes bacterium partial 16S ribosomal RNA
Rfam family: Bacterial small subunit ribosomal RNA
Source: RNAcentral